RNAcentral lists this ribosomal RNA (119 nucleotides) under Pteropus alecto (black flying fox). RNAcentral also lists the same sequence under 1 other name. Lineage: Eukaryota; Metazoa; Chordata; Mammalia; Chiroptera; Pteropodidae. The record is from RNAcentral.
GUCUAUGGCUAUGCCACCCUGAACAAGCCCUAUCCUGUCUGAUCUCAGAAGCUAAGCAGGGUGGGGCCUGGUUAGUACUUGGAUGGGAGACAACCCAGGAAGACCAGGUGCUAUAAGCA